CACGUAGGGCGCAAGCGUUGUCCGGAAUUAUUGGGCGUAAAGAGCUCGUAGGCGGUCUGUUGCGUCCGCUGUGAAAUCUCGGGGCUUAACCCCGAGCCUGCAGUGGAUACGGGCAGACUAGAGGUAGGUAGGGGAGAAUGGAAUUCCCGGUGUAGCGGUGAAAUGCGCAGAUAUCAGGAGGAACACCGGUGGCGAAGGCGGGUCUCUGGGCCGAUACUGACGCUGAGGAGCGAAAGCGUGGGGAGCGAACAGG
Molecule: ribosomal RNA, 253 nt
Filed under: uncultured bacterium
Lineage: Bacteria
Description: partial 16S ribosomal RNA
Rfam family: Bacterial small subunit ribosomal RNA
Source: RNAcentral